AUUGAACGCUGGCGGCAGGCCUAACACAUGCAAGUCGAGCGGAUGAAGGGAGCUUGCUCCUGGAUUCAGCGGCGGACGGGUGAGUAAUGCCUAGGAAUCUGCCUGGUAGUGGGGGAUAACGUCCGGAAACGGGCGCUAAUACCGCAUACGUCCUGAGGGAGAAAGUGGGGGAUCUUCGGACCUCACGCUAUCAGAUGAGCCUAGGUCGGAUUAGCUAGUUGGUGGGGUAAAGGCCUACCAAGGCGACGAUCCGUAACUGGUCUGAGAGGAUGAUCAGUCACACUGGCACUGAGAAAGGGUCCAGACUCCUACGGGAGGCAGCAGUGGGGAAUAUUGGACAAUGGGGCAAAGCCUGAUCCAGCCAUGCCGCGUGUGUGAAGAAGGUCUUCGGCUUGUAAAGCACUUUAAGUUGGGAGGAAGGGAAGUAAGUUAAUACCUUGCUGUUUUGACGUUACCAACAGAAUAAGCACCGGCUAACUUCGUG
This 484-nucleotide ribosomal RNA is filed under the name uncultured bacterium. Its description in RNAcentral is "partial 16S ribosomal RNA". It matches the Rfam family "Bacterial small subunit ribosomal RNA", at positions 30 to 507 of the family's 1533-position model. The record is from RNAcentral.